UACGAAGGGGGCUAGCGUUGUUCGGAAUUACUGGGCGUAAAGCGCGCGCAGGCGGCUAUCCAAGUCAGUGGUGAAAGCCCGGAGCUCAACUCCGGAACUGCCAUUGAAACUGUUUAGCUGGAGUAUGAGAGAGGUGAGUGGAAUUCCCAGUGUAGAGGUGAAAUUCGUAGAUAUUGGGAAGAACACCGGUGGCGAAGGCGGCUCACUGGCUCAUUCCUGACGCUCAGGCGCGACAGCGUGGGGAUCAAACAGG
Molecule: ribosomal RNA, 253 nt
Filed under: uncultured bacterium
Lineage: Bacteria
Description: partial 16S ribosomal RNA
Rfam family: Bacterial small subunit ribosomal RNA
Source: RNAcentral